This 459-nucleotide unclassified non-coding RNA is filed under the name Hevea brasiliensis (rubber tree). Lineage: Eukaryota; Viridiplantae; Streptophyta; Magnoliopsida; Malpighiales; Euphorbiaceae. The record is from RNAcentral.
GUUAAAGCUGGUCCCUGUACCUUGCCAGUAUCUCGAGUUGGAAAUUUUGGGGGUCAAGUUAUUCUUCCCUUGGCUCACACAAUUGAGCAUGAAGAGUUUAUGGAGGUAAUUAAACUUGAAAAUAUGGGAUAUCAGGAGGACAUGAUUAUGCCUGGUGACAUCUUCCUCCUGCAACUUUGUAGUGGAGUAGACGAGAAUGCUGUUGGCACCUGUGCUGAACUCAUCUUUGCUCCCAUUGAUGCCUCUUUUUCCCGAUGAUGCGCCUAUUAUUCCUUCGGGUUUCCGCAUAAUUCCUCUUGAUUCCCGGAUGGAUGCUGCUAGCCCAAACCGUACACUUGAUCUUGCCUCUGCUCUUGAUGUUGGACCCACUGGAAAUAAAGCAUCUAGUGAUUUUCCAGGCCACUGUGGGAGCACAAAAUCAGUGAUGACGAUAGCAUUCCAAUUUGCAUUUGAACUCCA